AACGAACGCUGGCGGCAUGCCUAACACAUGCAAGUCGAACGAGACCUUCGGGUCUAGUGGCGCACGGGUGCGUAACGCGUGGGAACCUGCCUUUAGGUUCGGAAUAACUCAGAGAAAUUUGAGCUAAUACCGGAUGAUGUCUUCGGACCAAAGAUUUAUCGCCUUUAGAUGGGCCCGCGUAAGAUUAGCUAGUUGGUGGGUAAAGCCUACCAAGGCGACGAUCUUUAGCUGGUCUGAGAGGAUGAUCAGCCACACUGGGACUGAGACACGGCCCAGACUCCUACGGGAGGCAGCAGUGGGGAAUAUUGGACAAUGGGCGAAAGCCUGAUCCAGCAAUGCCGCGUGAGUGAUGAAGGCCUUAGGGUUGUAAAGCUCUUUUACCCGAGAUGAUAAU
RNAcentral lists this ribosomal RNA (394 nucleotides) under uncultured bacterium. RNAcentral's name for it is "bacterial SSU rRNA". It matches the Rfam family "Bacterial small subunit ribosomal RNA", at positions 29 to 452 of the family's 1533-position model. The record is from RNAcentral.